GGCCUGAUAGUUCAGUGGUAGAAUUCUUGCUUUGGGUUAGAAUGUAAGAGGUCUCCGGUUCGAUCCCGGAUUAGGCCC
RNAcentral lists this transfer RNA (78 nucleotides) under Blumeria graminis f. sp. tritici. It matches the Rfam family "tRNA". Rfam says of the family: Transfer RNA (tRNA) molecules are approximately 80 nucleotides in length. Their secondary structure includes four short double-helical elements and three loops (D, anti-codon, and T loops). Lineage: Eukaryota; Fungi; Ascomycota; Leotiomycetes; Helotiales; Erysiphaceae. The record is from Rfam by way of RNAcentral. RNAcentral also lists the same sequence under 1 other name.